Long non-coding RNA from Dermochelys coriacea (leatherback sea turtle), 599 nucleotides. RefSeq lists it as uncharacterized. The record is from RefSeq and is a predicted model, not a curated record. The transcript has 3 exons. NCBI's taxonomy places the organism in Eukaryota, Metazoa, Chordata, Testudines, Dermochelyidae.
GGAGCUCCUUUAGAGACUCCUAGGGGCAGGGUAGUCAUGUUUCAUGGUGACCUCGGAAAGCCAUGCAAAGAGUGCAACAUUGAAGAGACUCUCCUGCUGUCACAAAGGGUUUCUGUUCUCCUGCACAGUCAGACAGUGGGGCCAGGUUGCAGAAUGUGGAAGAGCUGUUGGUGAUGAGUUGAAGGAUUCACCAUACCGGUGGCAGCAGCUGCAGAUCCUGGAGUCCCUAUGGUAGGGUUACCAUGCAUAUGGGUUUUCACGGACAUGUGCGGCUUUUUGGGUUUUAAAUACCCGUCGGGGAGGAAUUAGUAAAACUCUCAAAAAUUCCGGGAUUUCCCUCCCAAUGCAGAGCGCGGCACGGCUGACAGGGCAGCCGGGCCGGCUUGAACCGCUCGCAUCAGGGCCUCCCACAGCCAGAGCCCCUCCACUGCUGCCCCCCUCCCGUGCAGCCUCAGCAAGCCAUGCCGGCAGCGCUGUGCAGGGCGGGGCUGCGUUUUCCGCGGGGGAGCACGGCACCGUAUCUGGCUCCGCACACUGCUCUGAGCAGCAUGGUAAGGGGGCCGGGGAGUUGGAGGACUGGCAUGGGGUCCCAAGGGACA